GCCAGGUGUGGUGGCAGGCGCCUGUAAUCCCAGCUACUCUGGAGGCUGAGGCAGGAGAUUUGCUUGAACCCGGGAGGCAGAGGUUGCAGUGAGCCAAGAUAGGGCCACUGCACUCCAGCCUGGGCAACAAAGCAAGACCCUGCCUCGA
RNAcentral lists this non-coding RNA (148 nucleotides) under Pan troglodytes (chimpanzee). The record is from Rfam by way of RNAcentral. Lineage: Eukaryota; Metazoa; Chordata; Mammalia; Primates; Hominidae.